This 434-nucleotide ribosomal RNA is filed under the name uncultured bacterium. RNAcentral's name for it is "bacterial SSU rRNA". It matches the Rfam family "Bacterial small subunit ribosomal RNA", at positions 355 to 786 of the family's 1533-position model. The record is from RNAcentral.
UGAGGAAUAUUGGUCAAUGGGCGGGAGCCUGAACCAGCCAAGCCGCGUGAGGGAGGAAGGCCCUAUGGGUCGUAAACCUCUUUUGUCAGGGAACAAAAGCGAGUAUGUAUACUAGUCUGAGUGUACCUGAAGAAAAAGCAUCGGCUAACUCCGUGCCAGCAGCCGCGGUAAUACGGAGGAUGCGAGCGUUAUCCGGAUUUAUUGGGUUUAAAGGGUGCGUAGGCGGCGGUGCAAGUCAGCGGUAAAAGCCCGGGGCUCAACCCCGGCGAGCCGUUGAAACUGCAGUGCUAGAGAAGGCGAGAGGUACGCGGAAUGCGCAGUGUAGCGGUGAAAAUGCUUAGAUAUUGCGCAGAACUCCGAUUGCGAAGGCAGCGUACUGGCGCCUGACUGACGCUGAGGCACGAAAGCGUGGGGAUCGAACAGGAUUAAAUACC